This 511-nucleotide ribosomal RNA is filed under the name uncultured Rhodococcus sp. RNAcentral's name for it is "bacterial SSU rRNA". It matches the Rfam family "Bacterial small subunit ribosomal RNA", at positions 338 to 860 of the family's 1533-position model. Lineage: Bacteria; Bacillati; Actinomycetota; Actinomycetes; Mycobacteriales; Nocardiaceae. The record is from RNAcentral.
CCUACGGGAGGCAGCAGUGGGGAAUAUUGCACAAUGGGCGAAAGCCUGAUGCAGCGACGCCGCGUGAGGGAUGAAGGCCUUCGGGUUGUAAACCUCUUUCAGCAGGGACGAAGCGCAAGUGACGGUACCUGCAGAAGAAGCACCGGCUAACUACGUGCCAGCAGCCGCGGUAAUACGUAGGGUGCGAGCGUUGUCCGGAAUUACUGGGCGUAAAGAGUUCGUAGGCGGUUUGUCGCGUCGUUUGUGAAAACCCGGGGCUCAACUUCGGGCUUGCAGGCGAUACGGGCAGACUUGAGUGUUUCAGGGGAGACUGGAAUUCCUGGUGUAGCGGUGAAAUGCGCAGAUAUCAGGAGGAACACCGGUGGCGAAGGCGGGUCUCUGGGAAACAACUGACGCUGAGGAACGAAAGCGUGGGUAGCAAACAGGAUUAGAUACCCUGGUAGUCCACGCCGUAAACGGUGGGCGCUAGGUGUGGGUUCCUUCCACGGAAUCUGUGCCGUAGCUAACGCAU